This 253-nucleotide ribosomal RNA is filed under the name uncultured prokaryote. RNAcentral describes it as "partial 16S ribosomal RNA". It matches the Rfam family "Bacterial small subunit ribosomal RNA", at positions 525 to 777 of the family's 1533-position model. The record is from RNAcentral.
ACGAACCGUGCGAACGUUGUUCGGAAUCACUGGGCUUAAAGGGCGCGUAGGCGGAGGGUCCAGUCGGUGGUGAAAUCCUUCCGCUUAACGGGAGAAUGGCCGCCGAUACUGACUCUCUCGAGGGAGGUAGGGGCAUGUGGAACUUCCGGUGGAGCGGUGAAAUGCGUAGAUAUCGGAAGGAACGCCGGUGGCGAAAGCGACGUGCUGGACCUCUUCUGACGCUGAGGCGCGAAAGCCAGGGGAGCAAACGGGA